GUUUUAGUGGCGAACGGGUGAGUAACGCGUUGGUGACCUGCCCCGAAGAGAGGGAUAACAGUUCGAAAGGAUUGCUAAUACCUCAUGUGGUUAUAUGGUUUAGAAGCUUAUAACUAAACGGAUUUAUUCGCUUCGGGAGGGGCCUGCGCCCCAUCAGCUAGUUGGUAAGGUAAUGGCCUACCAAGGCGAUGACGGGUAGGGGACCUGAGAGGGUGGCCCCCCACAAUGGAACUGAAACACGGUCCAUACACCUACGGGUGGCAGCAGUAGGGAAUAUUGGUUAAUGUGGGAAACCGCGAACCAGCAACGCCGCGUGCACGAUGAAGGCCUUCGGGUCGUAAAGUGCUUUUAGAGAGGAUGAGGAAGGACAGUACUCUCUGAAUAAGCCUCGGCUAACUACGUGCCAGCAGCCGCGGUAAAACGUAGGAGGCGAGCGUUAUCCGGAUUUACUGGGCGUAAAGCGCGUGUAGGCGGUCUGACAAGUUGGAUGUGAAAGCUCCUGGCUUAACUGGGAGAGGUCGUUCAAAACUGUUAGACUUGAGAGUGGUAGAGGGAGGUGGAAUUCCGGGUGUAGUGGUGAAAUGCGUAGAUAUCCGGAGGAACA
RNAcentral lists this ribosomal RNA (604 nucleotides) under uncultured bacterium. RNAcentral's name for it is "bacterial SSU rRNA". It matches the Rfam family "Bacterial small subunit ribosomal RNA", at positions 89 to 708 of the family's 1533-position model. The record is from RNAcentral.